ACUCAAAUGAAUUGACGGGGGCCCGCACAAGCAGUGGAUUAUGUGGUUUAAUUCGAAGCAACGCGAAGAACCUUACCAGGUCUUGACAUCUCCUGCAUAGCAUGGAAACAUGUGAAGUCUUCGGACAGGAAGACAGGUGGUGCAUGGUUGUCGUCAGCUCGUGUCGUGAGAUGUUGGGUUAAGUCCCGCAACGAGCGCAACCCUUACUAUUAGUUGCUACGCAAGAGCACUCUAAUGGGACUGCCGUUGACAAAACGGAGGAAGGUGGGGACGACGUCAAAUCAUCAUGCCCCUUAUGACCUGGGCUACACACGUAAUACAAUGGUACUUUAACAGAGGGUCGCGAAGCCGCGAGGCCCAGCCAAACCCUAAAAAGUAUCUCAGUUCGGAUUGCAGGCUGCAACCCGCCUGUAUGAAGUCGGAAUUGCUAGUAAUCGCGGAUCAGCAUGCCGCGGUGAAUACGUUCCCGGGCCUUGUACACACCGCCCGU
RNAcentral lists this ribosomal RNA (490 nucleotides) under uncultured bacterium. Its description in RNAcentral is "bacterial SSU rRNA". It matches the Rfam family "Bacterial small subunit ribosomal RNA", at positions 899 to 1397 of the family's 1533-position model. The record is from RNAcentral.